This 465-nucleotide ribosomal RNA is filed under the name uncultured bacterium. Its description in RNAcentral is "partial 16S ribosomal RNA". It matches the Rfam family "Bacterial small subunit ribosomal RNA", at positions 338 to 795 of the family's 1533-position model. The record is from RNAcentral.
CCUACGGGUGACUGCAGUAGGGAAUCUUCCACAAUGGACGAAAGCCUGAUGGAGCAACGCCGCGUGAGUGAAGAAGGGUUUCGGCUCGUAAAGCUCUGUUGGUAGUGAAGAAAGAUAGAGGUAGUAACUGGCCUUUAUUUGACGGUAAUUAAUUAGAAAGUCACGGCUAACUACGUGCCAGCAGCCGCGGUAAUACGUAGGUGGCAAGCGUUGUCCGGAUUUACUGGGCGUAAAGCGAGUGCAGGCGGUUCAAUAAGUCUGAUGUGAAAGCCUGGGGCUCAACCGUCGAAGUGCAUCAGAAACUGUUGAACUUGAGGGCAGAAGAGGAGAGUGGAACUCCAUGGGUAGCGGGGGAAUGCGUAGAUAUAUGGAAGAACACCAGGGGCGAAGGCGGCUCUCUGGUCUGCAACUGACGCGGAGGCUCGAAAGCAUGGGUAGCGAACAGGAUUAGAUACCCUAGUAGUC